CAGCAGUGGGGAAUAUUGCGCAAUGGGCGAAAGCCUGACGCAGCGACGCCGCGUGGGGGAUGACGGCCUUCGGGUUGUAAACCUCUUUCAGCAGGGACGAAGUUGACGUGUACCUGCAGAAGAAGCGCCGGCUAACUACGUGCCAGCAGCCGCGGUAAUACGUAGGGCGCAAGCGUUGUCCGGAAUUAUUGGGCGUAAAGAGCUCGUAGGUGGCUUGUCACGUCGGGUGUGAAAGCUUGGGGCUUAACUCCAGGUCUGCAUUCGAUACGGGCUGGCUAGAGGUAGGUAGGGGAGAACGGAAUUCCUGGUGUAGCGGUGAAAUGCGCAGAUAUCAGGGGGAACACCGGUGGCGAAGGCGGUUCUCUGGGCCUUACCUGACGCUGAGGAGCGAAAGCGUGGGGAGCGAACAGGAUUAGAUACCCUGGUAGUCCACGCUGUAAACGUUGGGCGCUAGGUGUGGGGACCUUCCACGGUUUCCGCGCCGUAGCUAACGCAUUAAGCGCCCCGCCUGGGGAGUACGGCCGCAAGGCUAAAACUCAAAGAAUUGACGGGGGCCCGCACAAGCGGCGGAGCAUGUUGCUUAAUUCGACGCAACGCGAAGAACCUUACCAAGGCUUGACAUUGCCCGGAAACACUCAGAGAUGGGUGCCUCUUCGGAUCGGGUGACAGGUGGUGCAUGGCUGUCGUCAGCUCGUGUCGUGAGAUGUUGGGUUAAGUCCCGCAACGAGCGCAACCCUUGUUCAAUGUUGCCAGCACGCUCCUUCGGGGGUGGUGGGGACUCAUUGGAGACUGCCGGGGUCAACUCGGAGGAAGGUGGGGAUGACGUCAAGUCAUCACGCCCCUUAUGUCUUGGGCUGCAAACAUGCUACAAUGGCCGGUACAGAGGGCUGCGAUACCGCAAGGUGGAGCGAAUCCCUAAAAGCCGGUCUCAGUUCGGAUUGGGGUCUGCAACUCGACCCCAUGAAGUCGGAGUCGCUAGUAAUCGCAGAUCAGCAACGCUGCGGUGAAUACGUUCCCGGGCCUUGUACACACCGCCCGUCACGUCACGAAAGUCGGCAACACCCGAAGCCCGUGGCCCAACCAGCUUGCUGGAGGGAGCGGUCGAAGGUGGGGCUGGCGAUUGGGACGAAGUCGAAACAAGGUAGCCGUACCGGAUGGUGCGGCUG
This 1166-nucleotide ribosomal RNA is filed under the name metagenome. Its description in RNAcentral is "bacterial SSU rRNA". It matches the Rfam family "Bacterial small subunit ribosomal RNA", at positions 349 to 1520 of the family's 1533-position model. The record is from RNAcentral.